RNAcentral lists this long non-coding RNA (655 nucleotides) under Homo sapiens (human). RNAcentral's name for it is "HSALNT0216441". Lineage: Eukaryota; Metazoa; Chordata; Mammalia; Primates; Hominidae. The record is from RNAcentral.
ACCACAGGCAUGCACCACCAUGCCCAACUAAUUUUGUAUUUUUUGUAGAGAUGGUGGUGUGGUUUGGCCGUGUCCCCACCCAAAUCUCAUCUUGAAUUGUAGUUCCCAUGAUCCCUGUGUGUCAUGGGAGGGACCCAGUGGGAGGUAAUUGAAUCAUGGGGGCGGUUACCUCCAUGCUGCUGUUCUCAGGAUAGUCAAUGAGUUCUCACAAGAGCUGAUGCUUUUAUAAGGGGUUUCCCCCCCUUUUGCUCAGCACUUCUUCCUGCCCCCAUGUGAAGAAGGACUUGUUUGCUUCUCCUUCCACCAUGAUCGUAAGUUUCCUGAGGCCUGCCCAGCCCUGCGGAACUCAUGUCUGUGAGCGGCUGAAUAUUCCCCACAAACUUCAACCAAAACAACGUAUCACAACAGACUCAUGCAGAAGCAGAUAUGAGAAUCUACCUGUCUCCUAUCAAGCCAGACCAUAAAGAUAUUGACAAAAAUGAAAACUAAUGCCACCCUUAUUGUUAACUUUGUUGUUGUGGUUUCAGAACAUACUUAUUUUUCAUUUAAAAAUAAUGACUAAUGUUAACAUGUUAUGGCUUUGUCAUUCUUUUAAAAUAAAUAUUAUUUCUAAACAAAUAUUCUUUUUAAAUAAAAAUUUAUUUUCAAAUGUAUC